AUCUAAAUAGUUUAAGAAAAAUAUUGAUUUGUGGGGUCAGGGAUAUAAAAUUUUAUUUUAGAUA
RNAcentral lists this transfer RNA (64 nucleotides) under Lamiinae sp. 4 ACP-2013. RNAcentral's name for it is "tRNA-His". The record is from RNAcentral. Lineage: Eukaryota; Metazoa; Arthropoda; Insecta; Coleoptera; Cerambycidae.